AGAUCUUUCUUCAGAAGAAACCUGAGUGGUCUCACAGGGGUUUGGAGUAAGAUUCAUACCUGCUUCACCAGUGAUUUUCAAAGGAGGCAAAUCCUAUUUGAAGCUAAAGUCACAUAAAGAGAUUUGGAAUGAGGAAACAAAUUAUAGCAGCCUGCAAGUUGUAGAAUGAAGAAAUGCAAAUGUAAAGUACUGAACUUUGUCAUGGAUGGAUUUACCAAAGAGAAUUACUCUGCAUAACAUGAAUAAUGGAGUUCAGAAGGAAGCCCAUAUCCCAGGUACAGGGAAAACUCAGAGACUUCCUCGGUUGUGCUGUUUUACUGAGGUUGGGUGGAGUCAACACAUCAUGGAUAAAGAAGUCCCUAAAGGCAGUCCCAGGGAGCCCGCACUGAACAUCAAGAAGUCAGACAAAUCCUUCAAACGCAAGAAGCCCACCGAAAAUGUGCUGAUCUUUUUAAUCAACAGACAACUGGGCAGGCACAGAAGUGACAUCGACCUGUCAAGAUGGGUGUGGAUGCUGUCAUAAAGCAACUCUAGGGUGGACAUGGCCUUGGACAAAAAGUCAUGUGGCUUACAUGCUGAAGCCUGCCCAUAUUUUUGAGAAAUUAAAUAUAAUUAGAACAAUAAACUCCUCCCAUGUUUGAG
This 642-nucleotide long non-coding RNA is filed under the name Homo sapiens (human). RNAcentral's name for it is "HSALNT0408822". Lineage: Eukaryota; Metazoa; Chordata; Mammalia; Primates; Hominidae. The record is from RNAcentral.